This 472-nucleotide ribosomal RNA is filed under the name uncultured bacterium. RNAcentral's name for it is "SSU rRNA". It matches the Rfam family "Bacterial small subunit ribosomal RNA", at positions 26 to 518 of the family's 1533-position model. The record is from RNAcentral.
AGGACGAACGCUUGCGACGUGCCUAAGAAAUGCAAGUCGAACGGAUCAGCAGCAAUGCUGGUUAGUGGCGAACGGUCGCGUAACACGUGGGCAACCUGCCCUGAAGCGGGGGACAACAACUCGAAAGAGUUGCUAAUACCGCAUGUGAAUCGCUGUGGCAUCACAGAGGAUUCAAAGCCGCAAGGCACUUCAGGAUGGGCCCGCGGCCUAUCAGCUUGUUGGUGAGGUAACGGCUCACCAAGGCUUCGACGGGUAGCUGGUCUGAGAGGACGAUCAGCCGGAUUGGGACUGAGAUACGGCCCAGACUCCUACGGGGGGCAGCAAUUAGGAAUCUUGCACAAUGGGCGAAAGCCUGAUGCAGCGACGUCGCGUGAAGGAUGAAAUCUUUCGGGAUGUAAACUUCUUUACCAGGGAAGAAAUAAAUGACGGUACCUGGUGAAUAAGCCCCGGCUAACUACGUGCCAGCAGCCGC